Molecule: long non-coding RNA, 489 nt
Organism: Anser brachyrhynchus (Pink-footed goose)
Lineage: Eukaryota; Metazoa; Chordata; Aves; Anseriformes; Anatidae
Source: Ensembl
AGAUAGACUGUGAUACCACCAGCAGGUCACUUAAGGAAAAGCAGACACUUAAGGACAGAAGACACCAGCAGAUACUUAAGAAAAAUGAAUCAGGAGGAAAAUGCCUACAAAACGUUGCUUUCUCUUUGUGGAGCAAAAAACAAAGCACACUGAAAUUAAAGGCAAUCUGAAGGCCUCACCAAUUUUAAAAAUCCCACGCUUAAUAAACAAAGAUAGACAAAGGAACAUAUAUGCCUCCUCAUGAGCCACACUGUUUCUCUCUGGUCACUACCACAGUCUGUGCUGAGUCAAACCUACUAGUGCAGUCAAUUGAGCAAAAACCAAGUUGUUCAUUACAGGCAAUCAUCAUUCCAGCUUUCCCAAUCUACUCUGGAGAAUGCAGAAGCAUCUGUUAUCACAGCAUGAACCUCAUUCUGCAAAUAAAUUCUUCAAAUAAACGAGUACAGGAAAUACAUGAAUUUUCUCUUCUCUGAGACUGCUGUUUUUCGG